UACAGAGGUCUCAAGCGUUGUUCGGAUUCAUUGGGCGUAAAGGGUGCGUAGGCGGGCUGCCAAGUUUGGGGUGAAAUCCUCCGGCUCAACCGGGGAAGUGCCUUGAAUACUGGCGGUCUCGAGGGAGGUAGGGGCGUGCGGAACUAACGGUGGAGCGGUGAAAUGCGUUGAUAUCGUUAGGAACUCCGGUGGCGAAGGCGGCACGCUGGACCUUUACUGACGCUGAGGUGCGAAAGCGUGGGGAGCAAACAGG
This 253-nucleotide ribosomal RNA is filed under the name uncultured bacterium. Its description in RNAcentral is "partial 16S ribosomal RNA". It matches the Rfam family "Bacterial small subunit ribosomal RNA", at positions 524 to 776 of the family's 1533-position model. The record is from RNAcentral.